UACAGAGGGUGCGAGCGUUGUCCGGAAUCACUGGGCGUAAAGGGCGCGUAGGCGGCUUGAUAAGCGUGCGGUGAAAGCCCGGGGCUCAACCCCGGGUCGGCCGUGCGAACUGUCGAGCUGGAGCACUGUAGAGGCAGGUGGAAUUCCGGGUGUAGCGGUGGAAUGCGUAGAGAUCCGGAAGAACACCGGUGGCGAAGGCGGCCUGCUGGGCAGUGGCUGACGCUGAGGCGCGACAGCGUGGGGAGCGAACAGG
Molecule: ribosomal RNA, 253 nt
Filed under: uncultured bacterium
Lineage: Bacteria
Description: partial 16S ribosomal RNA
Rfam family: Bacterial small subunit ribosomal RNA
Source: RNAcentral